RNAcentral lists this ribosomal RNA (399 nucleotides) under uncultured bacterium. Its description in RNAcentral is "bacterial SSU rRNA". It matches the Rfam family "Bacterial small subunit ribosomal RNA", at positions 143 to 518 of the family's 1533-position model. The record is from RNAcentral.
AUAACAGUUGGAAACGACUGCUAAUACCGCAUAACCUGUACCGACGGAUGUCUGGUAUAGCAAAGAUGGCCUCUGAAUGAAAGCUAUCACUUAUGGAUGGGCCCGCGUCUGAUUAGCUAGUUGGUAGGGUAAAGGCCUACCAAGGCGACGAUCAGUAGCCGGCCUGAGAGGGUGGACGGCCACACUGGGACUGAGACACGGCCCAGACUCCUACGGGAGGCAGCAGUGGGGAAUAUUGCGCAAUGGGGGAAACCCUGACGCAGCGACGCCCGCGUGAGCGAAGAAGGCCUUAGGGUCGUAAAGCUCUGUUAUAAGGGACGAAGGUUACCAUGGUUAAUACCCGUGGUAAGUGACGGUACCUUAUGAGUAAGCCCCGGCUAACUACGUGCCAGCCGCCGC